This 1148-nucleotide ribosomal RNA is filed under the name uncultured microeukaryote. RNAcentral's name for it is "partial large subunit ribosomal RNA". It matches the Rfam family "Eukaryotic small subunit ribosomal RNA", at positions 109 to 1265 of the family's 1831-position model. The record is from RNAcentral.
GAAAAUGUAUUAUUUGAUGGUCUUGCUACUUGGAUAACCGUAGUAACUCUAGAGCUAAUACAUGCAUCAAUCCCUGACUUCCUGGAAGGGGUGUACUUAUUAGAUGGAAACCAGUGCGGGUUCGCCCGGAUUAUGGUGAUUCAUAAUAAUUUUCGGAUCGAUCAAUUGAUCGAUGCAUCAUUCAAGUUUCUGCCCUAUCAGCUUUGGAUGGUAGGGUAUUGGCCUACCAUGGCAUUAACGGGUAACGGAGAAUUAGGGUUCGAUUCCGGAGAGGGCGCCUGAGAAACGGCGACCAGUUCCAAGGAAGGCAGCAGGCGCGUAAAUUACCCAAUCCUGACACAGGGAGGUAGUGACAAUAAAUAACAAUGUCGGGCCUUCGGGUUUGACAAUUGGAAUGAGAACAAUUUAAAUCCCUUAUCGAGGAUCAAUUGGAGGGCAAGUCUGGUGCCAGCAGCCGCGGUAAUUCCAGCUCCAAUAGCGUAUACUAAAGUUGUUGCAGUUAAAAAGCUCGUAGUUGAAUUUCUGGUUUCGGAGUGCGGUCUGCCCCGUGGGGUAAGUAUCAGCGCUCGGGAGCCAUCCUCGAGGAGAACAUGCCUGUGAUUGAGUUCAUGGGUAUGGGAGCCUCGUCUUUUACUGUGAGCAAACUAGAGUGUUCAAAGCAGGCUUACGCCGUUGAAUACAUUAGCAUGGAAUAAUAAAAUAGGACUCUGGUCUAUUUUGUUGGUUAGUACUCCAGGGUAAUGAUUAAUAGGGACAGUUGGGGGGUAUUCGUAUUCAAUUGUCAGAGGUGAAAUUCUUGGAUUUAUGGAAGACGAACUACUGCGAAAGCAUUUACCAAGGAUGUUUUCAUUAAUCAAGAACGAAAGUUAGGGGAUCGAAGAUGAUUAGAUACCAUCGUAGUCUUAAACCAUAAACUAUGCCGACUAGGGAUUGGUGGUUGUUUAUUUGACUCCAUCAGCACCUUUAUGAGAAAUCAAAGUCUUUGGGUUCCGGGGGGGAGUAUGGUCGCAAGGCUGAAAACUUAAAGAACUGACGGAAGGGCACCACCAGGAGUGGAGCUGCGGCUUAUUUUGACUCAACACGGGGAACUUACCAAGUUCCAGACAAUAGUGAGGAUUGACAGAUUUGAGAAAGCUCUCUUUUCUUGA